This 790-nucleotide unclassified non-coding RNA is filed under the name Aconitum iinumae. RNAcentral's name for it is "partial ndhF-trnL intergenic spacer". Lineage: Eukaryota; Viridiplantae; Streptophyta; Magnoliopsida; Ranunculales; Ranunculaceae. The record is from RNAcentral.
UCAAGAUAUGAAAAGACUCAAAUAGAAAAUUUGAAAUUAUUUCAAUUUUAAAAUUUGAAAUAUUCAAAUCAAAUAAAGAAGUUACAAUCAAAUGAUAAGAUUAAGUCAAUGUUUAAAAGUUAUUACUUAUAUUACUUAAUAUAAUUAUUACCUAAGAUAUUUAUGAAGAUACAGAAUAUGUUUGAUAUUUUCAACCAUUUAUUAUUACAAUAAUUUAGAUCCAUAGAACAGGUAAAAUACACAAAAAAGUACUUGAUUUUGAUAUGUAUUCUGUACUUGAUUUUGAUAUGGAUUCUAUAAUCCACCAAUAACUCAACCUGAUAAAAAAAAAGCCCUCGUUAUUUUAGUUAAUUUAUUUGGAAUCAGUAUUCGGAAUCAUUAAUUGAAUUAGUUCUGAACUAGUUCGUUGUGAAACUGAGUGAGUUGCUUAUAUUCCUUCCAAUAAAACAACUUAUGUUUGCGGUAACCUCUAUGAUAUCCGUCAAUUUGUUACUCGUCACUUCAGUUCUUUGCGAACUGCAAUAAAAAAACAAAAAAAAUGUUUUUUUUUGUUUUCAUUUCGGAAUGGGAAUGGAUUGAGAACAGAACUAUCUAGUUGCAACUCUUCAAUUCCAUAAGAAACCGCACGAAAAGCCAUUACAUUCUUAAAGCUAACACCGCCCCACACCACACUACAGAUAAUUAUUAUUGAACGUUCAAAUAGCAAUAGGAAUUUGAAUUCUAUUUUAAAAAGUGUCCUCAAGAUAUUGCAUUGAAUUGCCUCCUUCAAUCUCGACGAUUGAAGAUGGAU